GAGAAACUCACAAUCUAGUUAGGGAUGGUGACAGCUGAGCCAGAGCUGUGCAGCGAGGCAGAGUACAUGCGUGUCACGAAGGAGUUACAACAGCUCAGCAGCGAGAAGGAAAAUGGAAUUCUGAUUGGUGGGAGUGCCAUGGACCAAGCUUUGUGGAGGAGAAAACUGAAGAGAAGGCUGGAGUCUUGCCUGCAGGUUGAAGCCGCUGGAAGAGGGAUGAGGAGAGCGAAGAAGCUUCCAGCCAUGUGCAGUGAACGCAGAGGGGAGGGUGCAUCAAGAGACUGCCCUGGGAAAGGCGGGGAACCAGGGGUGUGUUCCAGAGAAGAAGCCAAGUAAUUAGCAUGGCAGAAGGAGACUGCCACUGUGUUUGGCACAGCCAUGGUUGGUCCUCCAAGAACACGUUCAGUUGUGUGUGAUGCAAUGACAGAAGUAACCAUAAGGAUGCAGAUGCAGCUUUCUGAGGCCCAGCCAACAGUCACCGUGAAGCUGAGUGGCAAGGACCAGAACCCUGAAACUGGGAGCAUUUCUCCCUAUACGUUCCCCUCUCCUCCCAGCUUUCCAAACCCCCACCAUCUGACUUUGUACCUCUUUCAAAUGAAAAGGUUGCAUAUUGCUGAGCUGACAGAGGCUCCCUACCCAGACUAAUAGAGCCCGCCACACGGAAGUAAUUUCUUGUUAAACUUCUAUCCAGUGAAAUCCAACCACUGCACACAGCAGGCCCGGCUGUGCUGGUACUGCCAGCCUGCCACCGAGGCGCAAGGGAAUAAAGGAAAAUGCUUAGCAUUAAAUUUCAUGUAAAUCAGACUUUAUUUGCUCUGGUGACAGGUUAUUACCUUCUGCAGGGAACGAGGGGAGAAACGGCUGCCACUGAAGACAGAGUUCCCCCAGUGAGCUUCCGUAGCAGCCUCCUGCAGCAAGCAUGCCUAACUCACCUGCUUUGCCCCGCCCAUUCUCUCUGCUAGCUUCUCUGUAAAUGGCCAGGGUCUACAGGCUCUUCUUGGCAUAGUAGCCCUGCCUACGCAGCCUUCCUGAUGCUUCAGAGAUGGUCACUAUUUAGGUGGACUUCCCCACUAAGGACAUUGGGCACUCUUCACCUUGCUUUGUGGCUCAGUCUAUCUCCCACCAAGAACAUUCUAUAUAGCAAUAAACUCAUUCAGACUCAGCUCA
RNAcentral lists this long non-coding RNA (1167 nucleotides) under Mus spretus (western wild mouse). Its description in RNAcentral is "predicted gene 10530 (ENSMSPG00010042791.1)". Lineage: Eukaryota; Metazoa; Chordata; Mammalia; Rodentia; Muridae. The record is from RNAcentral.